GUGCUAGCUGAUUAGGAAAACCUCUGUUCUCCUUCUAAGCACGCAGCUAAACUGUUUUCCAUCCGUUUUUUGCCGUUAAGUGCGGUCAUGUGACUGAGUUCUAACCAAUUAGAAUGAGACGGCAAGGGAUGUGUAGCUUUUUCAAUCCUGGCCAUAAUAACAUUGUCCUUUGUGCGCUUCUCAAUGUCCUUUCUCCUUUCAUUAGGUAAAAUGGAGAUGAUCCCCAGGGCCAUCUUGGAAGCAGUUUUUGAAGACGGUAGAGUCUCGGGCCACGGCCGUUUAACUGCUGAAAGACUAGGAAGGGGUCCGUUUCAUUAACACGUUCAACCAAAGAGCGCUGUUAGGUGAGCAAAAACAAACCAGUUGUGUCUGAGCCAACACCCGUUUGUCUAUGGGUUGUAGCAGUUGGUCCACCUAAUCAAGGAAGUGCUGAGAGCACGGGACAUGAAAAGACACAGCGCUAAGCUGGAGUCAGCGUCUCGUGCUCUUGCCCAGGCUGGUCUUGAACUCCUGGGCUCAAGUGAUCCUCCCGCCCUGGCCUCCCAAAGUACUGGGAUUAUAGAUGUGAGCCAUCGAGCCCAGCUACAGCAGUUCUUAAAAGGAAAGUAACAUAAUCAUAUUUGUGUGCUAGAUAAUUAUAACAACAUAGAGGAUUCAUUGAAGAGAGAGACAGGAGAUGAGAAAAACAAUUUCAUCCUUUGUUUAUCAAGGACCUAUUAUGUAUACUUGAUCGUGCAUCAGGCACUACAGAUUCAAAGAUGAAUAAGAGUCCAGCAAGGGAAACAAUAAGUACCUUUAUGGGACUUGGGGAGACUCAAACUCUGGCCUCGGGUCUUCAUCUCCAUGAACCUCUUAAUUAAAACAAGAGAAGGGCCUCAACUAGAGCAGGGGUUGAGGACAUCGAAAAGAUAACCUACUUGAGAAACAUCUCAGAAAUGAAAUGAAUCAGGCUGAGUUUUGGAGUGGAUGUAGAAGUUGAGAGCAGUGAAAACCAAAACUGAGGUCUUUAUACUGGGCAACUGCACAGAUAGUGCUGCUAAUAGGAAAAUGCAGGAGAAGCAACUGACUUAGAGAACUGUCUUGCAUGCUUUUCUUUCUGAGAGAGUAAAUAUCAAAUUCCUAUAGGACAGGUACAAGCAACUCACAUAAAAAUUGCCAACAGCCAAUAAAUUGUUUCUUUUUUUUUUGAGACAGACUUUCACUCUGUUGCCCAGGCUGAAGUGCAGCAGCAAGAUCAUAACUCACGGCAAACUUGACCCCCCCAGGCUCAGAUGAUCUUCUGGCCUCAGCCUCCCAAAUUUCCUGCACCACAAAGUUCCUUUCACUUAAAAAAAAAUUUUUUUAUAUUACACCAUCUUUAUUUGUGCCUUAGAGUCUAAGGCUAUCAAUCAAACUUCAGUAAGAACAGUUUGAGCAUCAACUAAUGAACAGUAGCUAAACCAGAGAGCAGUCAAAAGUGUUUUAAAGGGAGCAGCAUCAACUGAUGUUCUGCCAAGUCUCUGGGUGUUCAGGACCACGGUCCCCCGGCACUUCCAGGCCCCUGUGGGCUGCAGGUGGAGGCCGAGGAGCCAAAGGGCUGCUCAGGAAAGGGUGGAACUUGGCCUCGCAGUCAGCUGGCUUCUGCCUAUUAUGGUCAUCUUCUUUCCAGAGGUCUUGCUAUCUCAGUGGACGUGGCGGUCAUCCAGCCGUCCUGGGCUGUUUUCUCAUAAAAGAGGAUCUCCCUCUGAAAACUGUGUCAUCCUUCAAUUCCUGGGCCAAGUCUUGGGACACAUCUUUUCUUAAAGCUUGCUGAAGUGACAAGAGCAGUUCUGUUUUCCUGCACUUUACGAAGUCUCUGAGGUGCAGGCAGUAGACAUCCUUCUCUAUGGACUCCCCCUGAGGCUCCUUCAUGUGUUUUCAGGGCAGUUCAGGCAGAGUGGAAAGCGUUGGCUGCAGCUUCGGGAGGUCCCUCUCCAGCUGUGCCUUUGAACCCUGCAGAGAGACCUGCUCGCUGAGCAGACCUUGGACUUGUGCUGUGAGUUCUGUACUCCUCUGGGUUUCUUCUCACAAUUGUAUGUCUGCUUUACCAGUCUUUCCCUCGCGACAUUCGAAGGAAGCAGCUAAAUCACCAUUGUCCUUCAUUCUUGCAGCAGGACUUGGGCCACAAUGCUGGGGUACAACCCUGUUCUGCUUCCCUGUUCCUCUCCACUGCCAAGUCCUCAUUUUCCAUGUUGUCUUUCCUGGUGCAGAUGAAAGGUGCUCAGCAGAGCGUGAGUCACGGAAGCUACUCGCCCACUCCAGUUCGAAUAUUCGGGACUUGAGGCCUUCUUGUCUUUUUUUUUUUUUUCUGUGGCGUCUGAUUUACAACUUCUUGGUCGGCCAGCUCUGCGGGUUGCUGAUCGUCCAUGCUGUCAUUCACAUCGUCCGUGGUGUGCACUGGAAGAUCUCUAUGCUGUGAAGCAUGCAGGAUGUGCUUCACAUCAGUCACUUGGGAAAGUUCAGGAGGCUGCUUUUUCAUGCUUUUUUCAGAAGCUCACCUAGGUUAGGUCCUGAUCAGAAGACCUGCUCAUUUCCAUUAGAACCUUCAAGCACAGUAUUUGGAGCAAUCAAGGACUGGCCCCAGCAUGGAUAACAGGUAGCUACCACUGGUGUGGGCUGCUGGCUGCAUCUUGGCACAGGCUUUCUGUGGGCCUCAACUUAGACUGAAGCCCUUUGGGCCAGCCCUUCCCUCCUUCUCACUGUGUGUCGUCUCCUGACCAGAGAGGCCAUCAGAGCCGUGCACGCCCAGCUCACCCAGAGUAUCCCUAGGGUCACUGGCACGGGUCCCAGGAUUCUGUAUAUCACUAAUUACUGCUGCCCACAGGUGGGCCAGCAGCAGUUGAGGAGGCAUUUCGUGGUGAGCAGCAGGUCUUCCGUGGCUCUUGAGGGCUCCACAGCUCUGCCUCUAUUCUCCACUGGCAUGUGGGCCACAACUGACCACUCGGAACUCUGCAGAGUGUUCCACCUCUAACACAAACAAGGGCUCGCCAACCAGGGUAAACCAUCCAUUAUGCUGGGGGAGGAAAGGCACCACAAGUUCUAGAAAACCGUGUCCCUGAUUUUGCUGUGCAAAUAGAAAGUGACAUUACUUAACACAGUGCCUUGGAAGAGUGGAAAGAGUUCACAGCAGCCCCCAGCUCAGGCCACUCCAGGUUCCACCUGGCCUUACAGCAUAGCUAGAGGGUCAAAGCCCUGUGUCCACGCACGAUCCUCUCAGGGCAGCAUGAUGGCCCAUCCGUGGUGGGGCUCAUUACCCUGAUUUCAAGUUUCCUUCUGCUGCAGGGAAGCCUGGUCCCACCUACAAAGAGACUGUCUACCUUGCUAGAUUGAACUAUAGGACUAUGUUUUCUUCAUCUCUGUAACCCUAGCAGCUCUCCAGAUACCCUUAUACACUAGGGGCAUGGUCAUUGCUUGUCUUGUUUUCUUGUUGACUCUACUCUGACUUAGGGCACGUCGAUUUCCCCUCUAGAUCUCCAUAUUCAGAUCUGUGAAUGAGAGUAAGUGGGUGAAGGCCCCUCUAGCUUUAAAACCCCUCCAAUACAGACAGACCACUGAAACCGGAAGCAGAAGCUGAGUGUGGUGAGUGGAGCAUUUUCCCUGGCAUGAUGGAGGGGACCUAUGGAUCUGGCUAUGAGGGUGGCAUCUGGCCACUUGAAUGCCUCUGCAGAACUGGACCCUAGUUUUCAAAUCAGACUCAAGAAUGAUCUUUAGUGUGGGUGGUUUUGUGGGGCAUAUAUUUUUUGAGACUUUGUUAUUGACACAACAGCUUCUGGAAGUCUUUUUGACAGAGAGUAUGCACAGGUGCGGGCUCCAUCUGCUUGGCAGCCGCUGUCUGGUGACGGUGAGGGCUGAGAGCUGGACGGUCCUGUUAGAAAAGCAGCAUGCCAGCCUCUGGCAAUGAGCAGAGUGACCCGACCUCGUCUCUCCUUCCCCGUGGAGCACUGCGAGCUCUUCCCCAGACCGGCUUCUCGGCUUCCCUUCACCCGCUCCCACCAGGCGGCUGAGGCCACUCUAGGAUUCCAUUUUUAGUUGUACUUUUUUUUUUAAUUGAUCAUUUUGUGAGCAUUUUUCUCUUGAAUGCAACAGAAAUAACACAAGUCCUUAAAAAUGUAGGAUCUCUCAGCUCCCACAAAAACAAAGAAGGACUUAGGAGAACUAUGUAAUUCUCUACAUAUUUAAAUUGUUAGCUCUAAAAAUAGAUUCGGAGAAAGGGUGGACACAUGUUCCAAUUUUCUCGUAACAGUCCUGGGUUAUGCCUGUUAUCCUGGCAUAGUUAUUAAUCUUGUCCCCUUUCACUCUCAGAGUCUCCUGGUUUGGAGGAUAAUUUCAUUCUAUUCAAAGAGGAAAUCUACAAAAAGGUGUCAUCAUCUAACCUGUAUUCAUAUAAACAUUUUCCAGUCUCACGGUUCUGUGUACCUCUCCAAACCCCUCAAUCUUCUAAUCAUUUUGUGUAUUAUUUAUAGGAAAAGAGCACCAGCUAAAAUACCUUGCCCUUGGAUUUCUUCAGCCAGCUGCUGAAGUAAUUUGUCUUAGUCUUUACUGAAGACUGAAUUGUAUCAUUAAGACUUUCUUCUAAGUCCUGUUAUUUUGACUUUUUGACUCACUUUAUGCCCUCUGAUACAUAAAGUGGCAAUAAUUUCUACAAUGAACCGUUGUAUUUGUUCACGAGAAAUUCUUCCUGUUCCUCACAUUUCUAUUCAGUUUCCUAAAGGUAUGUGUUUGAAAAGUUGAAAAAUUGCCUGGCCCGGUUAUAGUUUAAUGGGAGCAUUUAAACAUACUUUUCCUACAAAGCUUAUCAGUUAGUUACUUAACCUUUAUGAAUAGGUUAAAUAUUUUCCACAGUAUUUAUAUAAAUAUGAUACUUGGUUUCAAGUUAAAUCUAAUAAAAAGGAAGUUAUUCUUGACUUAAA
This is a long non-coding RNA of Symphalangus syndactylus (siamang), 4928 nucleotides long. RefSeq lists it as uncharacterized. The record is from RefSeq and is a predicted model, not a curated record. Lineage: Eukaryota; Metazoa; Chordata; Mammalia; Primates; Hylobatidae.